This 25802-nucleotide long non-coding RNA is filed under the name Setaria italica (foxtail millet). Its description in RNAcentral is "long non-coding RNA (SITA_LNC006168)". The record is from RNAcentral. Lineage: Eukaryota; Viridiplantae; Streptophyta; Magnoliopsida; Poales; Poaceae.
UCCUUCACGACAAGAUCAAGAAGCUCACCCACGACGUUAGGAUCGCGGACACGGUCACCAACGUCAUCGUGCCGGCGUUCGACGUCAAGUACCUGCAGCCGGUCAUCUUCAGCACCUACGAGGCCAAGCACGACCCCCUCAAUAACGCUCACCUCGCCGACAUCUGCAUCAGCACGUCGGCGGCGCCGACCUACUUCCCGGCGCACUUCUUCAAGACCGAGGCUCCCAACGGGCAACGGCAAGUCCCGGGAGUUCCACCUCGUCGACGGCGGCGUGGCGGCCAACAACCCCACCAUGGUGGCCAUGUCCAUGCUCACCAAGGAGGUGCUCCGUCGCAAUUCGGACUUCCAUUUGAGCAGGCACUCCGCCGAUUACCGGGACUACCUCAUCAUCUUUAUCGGGACCGGGUCGGCGAAGCAGGCGGAGAAGUAUACCGCACAUCAGUGUGCUAAGUGGGGUCUCUUCCAGUGGCUCUACCAUGGCGGCUUCAACCCGAUAAUCGACAUCUUCUCCCAUGCCAGCUCUGACAUGGUCGACAUCCAUGCGGCCGUGCUCUUUGAGGCCCUCCACUCUGAGAUGAGUUACCUUCGCAUCCAGGUAUAUUUACUGAUAAAGACUCAAGUUGUUCUUGAUAUCUCCACAGAGUUUGUCGUCGACAAUGAUAUGCAUUAUAUAUAUUUGUGUAGGAUGACUCGUUGAAGGGGAACGAGUCGUCAGUGGACGUCGCGACCAAGGAGAACAUGGAGACCCUGAUAGGGAUCGGCAAGGAGCUGCUCAAGAAACCGGUGGCGAGAGUGAACAUCGACACAGGGAUCUACGAGACCGUUGCUGGUGAGGGCACAAACGAAGAAGCGCUAGCACGCUUCGCCGAGAUACUCUCUGAAGAGCGCACGCUACGCAAGAACAAUCUCAACGCGUAAUACCUCUCAGUAACAGCUUGGUUUUUGCCAAGAAAUUGAGCCCAAGGAUCAGCAGCGGUACAGCAUUUUGGAUUGGCCGCAGUCUGGGUACAGCAUUUUGUGGCAACCUGGGGUACGGUGGUCAUCACAUCACUGGGGGAGAUUGGGCCUCCAAAUCUUUCGAUCUCGUUGUUGCCCGGUUUCAAUUCUUGUGGACAAUGUUGAUAUAAUCUGUAUCUGUGUUGGAUAAUAUUUGGGUUUAGCUUAAUUGUAUGAACAUUGAACAAAAGGGUUGGCGAUCACUUUUACAAGCAAUAUAGUUGGUGCAUUAAGUGCGUACGUUAUAGAGGCAUCAUAUACACGGCGACACAGAUUGUCCCAGGCCAAGCUGGUCUCAUUUCUAGAGUUCAUUUUACAACACCCCUAUUAGAAUAUACUCAUUCAUUUCCAAAUUGCAGGUCAUUUUACUUAUCACGUUGAUCUGACGGGAUUCAAAAAUGGCUCACAUAGAAUUCACUUGUCAGGUUGAUCUGGCUCCACUUCUGAGAGACAAGGCAGAGGUUGGGGCCCCCCUCUAUGUGCGGACGUCUUCAGCGUACAGUUCGUGUCCGGCCACGCAUGAUGGGCCGGGGUCGCUGUUAAUCCGUGACCAACUGCACGUUUUGGAACUUCCCAAAAAAAAAAUCGAAAAAGAGAAGACCCAACUUCACCUACCUGCACAUGUAUCACGUACUACUACGUACAAGGCCCAGCACAUGUCUGUUUUUCUUUCCAGCGACUACGACACUUACCGUACCCAAUAUGAAUCCCCAGUUUUCAUAACAGAUGGACUUUCAAAAUACUCAUUUUCGAAAGUCUAGCUAGUUGCUUUCAAAAUAUUCAUUUUAUCUGGUCAAUAAAUACGAACAUGAAGGCCUUUUCACACAACUACGUACUAAUCUGUUUUGAGGAAAAAAAAACUAAGAUUGUACUUUUAUGAGAUGGAGGGAGUACAUGUUAUGCUUUAUGGAGGCAAAAAAAAAAGAAAUCCAAUUCUGCUGUAGAAGAUCGAUCGAUGGAGUUGAUCUUUCAACACGGAUAUAUUACAGGAGUAAGGAGUUGGGGGACCUAUACGUUUUUAUAUACUCGUACGUACACUAGCUACUAUAUCGGCAGGUAUUAUAAAGUAGAUCGAGCAUGGAUACAUUAUCCCUACCAUUACACUAGUGUAUCUGAUUUUGUUCCGUUCGGACUUACCAAACUAGCACUGAAAUGCAGACGGAUCACGAAUGAUUCCAACUCCAUGCUUAGUUUAACCAUCCGCAUGACUCGCAACCACCUUAUAAAACAAGAGCACUCCCUUGUCCAACUUACAAUCAACAAGGCUAGCUGUUCCGAAAUGUCCCCAAAGAGAAAGCCCCAUUGUCCGGCCUCUUCAUGACGCAGCUCCCUAGUUUAAUCAUCCAUGUGAUCCCCAACACCAUGAAUGAAUGGUAUAUGCCUGCUUCAUUGUUGGAGUAGCUUGGAUGUUGAAAUCGUCUAUUCAUGCAUGAUCACAUCAAGAGAUGCCUUGUUGGCGAUGAUAAAGUGUAGCUAGAGUUUGAUUUACUAAAUGGGUAUGCACGAAAUUUUUUUCUAUGGUUAAAUUGGACAAUGUAGCCUCAGUAAUAUCCACAUGUGUAACCACAAACAUGAUGAGUCUAAAGUUCACGGAUAUGCGUGAAUUUCCCUAUUAUAUUAUAGGCAUGAUGCAGUAUAUGCACACAGACUGGCCACCGCGUAUGGACUAUUUGUCGCCUCACGACAACUUUGCCUGAUUAUAAAACUAAAAGAUUCAAAUUUUGUACAGAUCCUUCUUAGAGAGUGUGGAUGGGUGCCGGAUUUGCAGGAUUAUCUUUUAAGAUGAGACAAAGAAGUUGGAGUAUUUUCCGCUCCAGGCUGUUCAUCUAUCAAGUGGCACCAUUAUAUUGGUGUGCAGGUCAACUAGUCGAUACACUAUAUAUGAUAGAAAAUCUCUCUUGAUCUGCUGGAGAAUUUGUUGCCAGAGGCCAUCCUCCUUGAUUAGUUUGUACAAAUACUAUUUGCUUAAAAAAGCCAAUCUCCUUGUUCUUUUGGCGUGCAAAGAAUAUUCCAUUUUGUUAGUCUAUAUUUCUGCUUAAGUCUUGACCUAAUGUAAUCUCUUAAGAACUUUUCUAGGUAUUUCAGAAAAGGAGAUCAUGUACAUAGACAAGUUAGUUAGAACUAAGUUUAUAAGUGUUAGCCUCCCUGCAGCAUAGGAGCUUUUCCAAGUACUCAGCUUUUUUCAAAUAUUUCUUCUACCUCUAGACAAUCUUUAUUAAGUAAUCAUGUACGGUGCAUUGGAAUAUAACCAGAUAGCGAAAUGGAGCCUUCCCAACUGCACAUGCAUCCAAAAAUGUCCAUGUAUUCUUGUUGUGCCCCUUCUGCCUCCCUAUUGCAGAAUAACUCACUCUUAUCUGAGUUUAUCUUGAGGUCAGAUAGUUGCUUGAAAGUUGUAAGUACGAAGUUCAUAUUCUUAGCUUCUUUGAGAUUAUAUUCCAUAAAAAGAACUGUGUAUCGUCUGCAUGUUGAAGAAUAGGUAGGCCGUUAUUGACUAAAUGGGGGAUUAUGCUAGAGAUUUGACCAUCUUUUUUCGCCCUUGCUAUCAUCUUGCUAUCAAUGUUGCGAACAUUAUCCGCACGGGGAGAGUUCAAAUUUUACACCAUCAUCAUUGACUUAAUCCCCCAUGCGAAAACAAUCAAUGUCGUUCAUGGGUACGCACAAAGUUUUCUAUUACAAUUAAGCAUGGAUAUGCAGAGAUGAUCACAUCGAACCACCAUGUAUGGACUAUUUGUCGCAUGGCGACAAAUUUGACCAAAUAAAACUAAAAAAUUCAAAUUUUGUACAUAUAUCUUAGAUAUUAUAGAUGGGCACCAGAUUUACAUGAUUAUUUUUUUUUAAGGUCAGAGGCAGGCAACCGCUACUACUAUACCAAAGAAGCUAUUUUCCGCUCCAGGGGUUCAUCUGCCGUGUGACACAGUUACAGCAGUGCGGUAAAACUAUUCGACAUACUAUAUGAUACAAAAUCUCUUUUGAUCUGUGUUUGUUAAAUCAUUGCCUGACUUAAAAAGUUGCUUAUUAGUGUAAUUGUGUGUUUGUGGAAGUUGCAUUACAAGAUAUCUCUAAACAUUUCCUAAAAGUAUUAACCGCGAGUUAACCCUUAUGCGCAAGUGUACGUGUGCGUAUCUCUUUUCAUAUAUAUGUAAAAAAGAUAGGUAGAGGCUUCCCCUGCUGAUUUCCUUAAAAAAAAAACCUUGUGCCCAAGCAUCAUGCAUGGGUGCUGGGUUGAUCAUAUUUUAUUUGAGCUGCUGACACUCAUCCGCGUGAUAAGCAAUCAGAUAUCUUAAUAUGAUGGCCAACUUCUUUUCCCAUCCUUUCAACUCGUUUCGAGGACCAAGGCCCAGUAGGAACCCAAACAAAGGCGUGAAAACGUGAAGCACAAAAAAAGUGUUUGAGGAAAAAGAGAGAGAUUCCGUCACUAGCCCGCCUCUGAGUUCUGACUGUGACUGGGAUGGCAGUCCAUGCUUCUUCUUCUUCUUUUGAAACGAAAUGGCAGGCCAUGCUGCAAGCUAAACCAAGACCAAACCCUUAUCACUCAUUCAUACUACUCUUGACCGUCUCAGGUUUUAUAUAAAGCUCGCCAGAGCCUGCGGAUUCGGAGCACAAGAUCCAAGGAGCAGGGCAUCUAGAGAAGUACAGAAGUGAUCUCUUCCUGGAUUCUCUUAUACCUGAUCUGCCAUGGACAGCAACGGCGGCACGGCCACCGCUGCCGACAAGACGGUGCCACAGCCGCCACCGUCGACGGGGAAACUCAUCACCGUUCUGAGCAUCGACGGCGGCGGGAUCCGCGGCCUCAUCCCGGCGACCAUCAUCGCCUUCCUUGAGGCCAAGCUGCAGGCACGUGUUCAAAACCACCAUUUAAAUUGAGCACAUAGUACUGCUCCAACGAUGUCUUGUGCUCACCGCUCAUCCUGCGCUUGAUUUUAAUUAAUAUAGUCAAUCUUUGGUUUCAUUCAUGUGAUACAAUUUUUUUAUUUUUUUUGUUCGGCAGGAGCUGGACGGCCUGGACGCUCGGAUCGCGGACUACUUCGACGUGAUCGCCGGGACGAGCACCGGCGCCCUGCUCACGUCGAUGCUGGCGGCGCCGGACAAGAACAACCGGCCACUCUUCACCGCCAAGGAUCUCAACACCUUCUACCUCAAGAACGGCCCCAACAUCUUCCCGGAGAAGAAGUACGUCCUUGGUUAAUUCGACGAACACACACAUACCUGCACCUACCACAAGAGAAAUUCACACGUGCGUACAAAUUGUGUGGCGGCGCAGGGCCGGGUUCCUGACGCCGGCGGCGAAGCUCCUUGGCGCGGUGAGGGGCCCCAAGUACGACGGCGUGUUCCUGCACGACAAGAUCAAGAGCCUCACCCACGACGUGAGGGUCGCGGACACGGUCACCAACGUCAUCGUGCCGGCGUUCGACGUCAAGUACCUGCAGCCGGUCAUCUUCAGCACCUACGAGGCCAAGCACGACCCCCUCAAGAACGCUCACCUCGCCGACAUCUGCAUCAGCACGUCAGCGGCGCCGACCUACUUCCCGGCGCACUUCUUCACCACCAGCGACGGCAAAGGUGGCUCCCGGGAGUACCACCUCGUCAACGGCGGCGUCGCGGCCAACAACCCCACCAUGGCCGCCAUGUCCAUGCUCACCAAGGAGGUGCUCCGUCACAACCCGGACUUCAACCCCGGGAAGCCCUCCGAUUACAGGCACUACCUCAUCAUCUCCAUCGGCACCGGGUCGGCGAAGCAGGAGGAGAAGUACACCGCGCCGCAGUGCGCUAAGUGGGGUCUCCUCCAGUGGCUCUACAAUGGCGGAUUCACCCCGAUCAUCGACAUCUUCUCCCAUGCGAGCUCCGACAUGGUCGACAUUCACGCCGCCGUGCUCUUUGAGGCCCUUCACUGUGAGAAGAACUACCUUCGCAUCCAGGUGUUACAUUCUUAACUACAGUAUACGUGUUUUUUUUUAACCUUAAGUUGUUAUUUUCACAGCACAAAACAUUGAACGAUGUGUAAACACAUGUGGAUGUAGGAUGACUCGUUGACGGGGGACACGUCAUCAGUUGACAUCACAACCAAGGAGAACAUGGAGGCUCUGAUCAGGAUCGGCCAUGAGCUGCUCAAGAAGCCUGUGUCAAGAGUGAACAUCGACACGGGGAUGUACGAGCCUGUUAACGGUGAAGGAACGAAUGAAGAGGCGCUAGCACGCUUCGCCAAGAUACUCUCCGACGAACGCAGGCUACGGCAGAGCAAACUCAGCUCCAACUAGCUCUUGUUCAUAGCUACCUUGGUGCUUGCCAACAAGUUCAGCACAUGGAGCUGGAGUUGCAAAGUGGAUGAGAAUGGGAUGGGCGGUAGGUGAAGUGCUGAUCAUAAGUUCUUUUUAGUAAUUAAUCAAGAAACGUACAUGAAAGCAAUAAACUUGUAAGCAUAGGGUGAUGUAAGUGCUAACGUCUGUAUUACACAAACAGAUUAGUUCUCUAUGUGCUGACAGAUGUUAUAUAUGAAACUUGAUCCUAACAUACAUAUAGGUAGCACUUGGUUUUGUUUUAAAAUCAGGUGUGACAACUGCAUCACCGUUGGAUGCGGCCUUGUAAUAAUAACACCAUGGCACAACUCCUCGUGGGGUAGAAGCUGUUUUUUGUUCAGUUGGCUAUUCCAAAAUGAUAUUGUUUCAACGAACCAACUAAUGUUACUAGAAUGCAGGCCUUGUAGUAAUAACUAAUCUCACUCGUUGAGCACGAUUAGCUUAGUUUAUUAUUACUCCGAUGCGGACACCUCAACCACUCCGAUAUUGUCCGAUGCGUCUUCAUUUUUUUAGGGAGGUACAAAUCCACCGGCGAGCAAAUCCAGAGCCAGGUAACGCCGAGCAACCAUACACCGUGCCUACCAUGCCGGGCGAAGCUAUUCACGUCGUGAUGCUCCCCUGGCUCGCCUUCGGCCAUAUCAGCCCGUUCGCGCAGCUGGCGCGGAAGCUGUUCUCCGUCGAGGGCGGGCACAACAUCCGCGUGACGUUCCUGACGGCCGACGGGAACCUGCCGCGCGUGCAGGCCAUGCUGGCGCCGGCCGCCGGCGCGGCGGCCGUCGUGCCGCUACACCUGCCCCACGUGCCGGGGCUACCCGAGGGAGCCGCCAGCACGGCCGAGCUCACGGCCGACGGCGCCGAGCUCCUCAAGGUCGCCUUCGACGGCACUCGGGACCAGGUGUCGGCGCUGUUGUCCGAGCUCCGCCCGGACGCCGCGCUGAUCGACUUCGCCACCCCGUGGGUCACCGACAUCGCCGCGCCUCUUGGCAUCAAGGUGCUCUACUUCAGCGUGUUCUCAGCCGUCGCCUCUACCUACACCGUCGUCCCGGCGCGCCGCCUCCAUGGGGCGGCCCCGUCGGCCGGUGACUUCACGGCCGCCCCUUCCGGUUUUCCCAAGGGCUCCGCGCUAGCCACCAUUCCGCCCUACCAGGCCGCCGACUUAACCUACCUGUUCACCAGCUUCUACGGCCAGCCCUGCGUCUACGACCGUGUGACCGCCGGCAUCAAGGCCUGCGAUGCCAUCGUGAUAAAGACCUGCGUGGAGAUGGAGGGCCCCUACAUAAGUUACCUCUCCGCCCAGUUCGGCAGGCCAGUGCUUCUCGCCGGACCCGUCGUGCCGGAGCCGCCGCAGGGCCAUCUCGAUGAGCGGUGGGCCAGCUGGCUCUCCUCGUUCCCGGAGAACUCCGUCGUCUUCGCCUCGUUCGGCAGCGAGACGUUCCUACCGACAGCGGCGGCGACAGAGCUUCUCCUCGGCCUCGAGGCCACCAACCGGCCGUUCCUCGCCGUGCUCAACUUCCCCAAGGGAGCCGACACGGAGGCGGAGCUCCGGGCACGGAUCCCGCCGGGGUUCGAGGAGAGGGUGAAGGGGAGAGGCGCGGUGCACACGGGGUGGGUGCAGCAGCAGCACAUCCUGCAGCACCAGAGCGUCGGGUGCUACUUGAACCACGCCGGGUUCAGCUCCGCCGUGGAGGGGCUCGUAGCCGGUUGCCGGCUGGUGCUGCUGCCGAUGAAGGGCGACCAGUACCUCAACGCGGCGCUGCUCGCGCGAGAGUUGCGGGUUGGGGUGGAGGUGGCGCGCCGCGACGAGGACGGCUGGUUCGGAGGCCAGGACGUGAGCGAUGCGGUUGCCUUGGCGAUGGCGGAGGGAGGGGAUAGGGACGGGAGGAAGUGGAGGGAGUUCUUGACGGACGACGCCGUUCAGAAGAGGUUCGCCGGGGACUUCGUCCGGCAGCUCAAAGAGCUCGUCAGGGCAGCCUGACUCUAGCUCGUAUGUGCAAAAAUAGUUUGCAUCCUCUGUUGCACGGAGUACGGUUACCUGAAUGUAUGCUGUGUAAUUCGCUUCUUUUACAGCACGUGGCUACAAGCACUAGAAGUCUGCAACCAAAAACUCCUUAUUAAAAUACAAGCCUGUUCUGAUGACCCAAAUUUACUCUCACCUAAUUGUUCUUAGCUUUGGUUGAAUCAUCAUAGUUCUUCGUUGUUUAGGCCAGUGUGUAUACAUAUGUAAAGGGAUUUAUCUGAUGUUACGAUACUUAUCACCACGUACGAACUUGCAACCAAUACUCUUCCAAUUAUAUUUUUUUAACAAAAAUAAUAACUGGGUCAUCAAUAAAGGAGACCAUCUAAUGGCAUCCGCAGAUUCGUCGAGGAGAGAGAGCGCGCCACGGAAGUAAUUAAAAACGUUGAAUCGAUUUAUACACCUAAUGUUUUUUUUGAUGAAAUAGGAGGGGAAAGACCCCUGGUUAUAUAUUAUAUAUAAAAAAAAGAACAAACAAAAGGUGCUAAACGGUUCAAGAAACAAAGAAAGAGAGAAAAAAGAUCAUAAAGAUUACAAUGUAUGUUCUAGCCAUUCUAUCAUCGGUUGCUUCCAAUCCUCUUUUACGCGUAGCAUAACCUGCGUAAACACAACUUUGAAUCGCGACAUGGCACUAUGAACCGAUGGAGUGAUGCCCUGAAAAAUCCAGUCAUUCCUUUCCAUCCAAAUACACCAGCUCAUGAGAAUAAUGACCUCCAUGAAGAAUUUGACUUGUAGUUGAAUUCUGAAGCUAUUUAGGAUACUAUAGGGCUCUUGUGUCAAAUCUGUAAACAGACUAAUAUUAAUCCAACAUUCUUGCGCAAAGGGACAUUCCAAGAUAAGGUGAAAUAAAGUUUCUUCUAUGUCAUGCAUGCAUAAGACACAAGAGUAAGAAGGCAACUCCAUAUGCUUCCUUCGAAGAACAUUCCGUGUACUCAAUCUGUCUUUAAGAAGUAACCAGAAAAAGAACUUGUGUUUGCUUUGGCAUUUUGAUUUCCAAAGCCACCGAAAAACUGGAUGAACAUACUGAUGUCCCUUUAGUGUCCGAUAUGCUUUGGAUGAGGAGAAGUGCUGAUUGCCCCAAAUAUAUGUCCAUCUGUCUUGCUCAUCAUUUGUGGAGAUAAGAUCCAAAUCAGCAGCCAAUUGUAGCAAUUGAUUCAUGGCCAGUGGAGUGAGGGGCAGGGUGAAGAGAUGUUGUAAAUUUGUUAGCACAUAUGCCUGCCUGACAGAUAUGUCAUCCUUUCUAGUAAAUGAGUAUAGUUGUGGAUAUUCUUGUGCAGGAAUCUUAUUGUUCCACAGGUCAUGCCAAAGUAAACAUGUUAGCCCAUUGCCCACUGUUACUGUCGCUUAACCUUUGAAUUUAUCAAUGAGUUUGACAAUGUCACGCCACCAAAAAGAACCUUUUCUUAUUCGUCCUGGUAGCCUACCAGUAGCAUAGUGGUUCUCCCAAAUCAUACACCAGUAUACACCUAAUGUUAUGGCGCAACCAAGGAGAACAUGGAGGCUCUGAUCAGGAUCGGCCAUGAGCUGCUCAAGAAGCCUGUGUCAAGAGUGAACAUCGACACGGGGAUGUACGAGCCUGUUAACGGUGAAGGAACGAAUGAAGAGGCGCUAGCACGCUUCGCCAAGAUACUCUCCGACGAACGCAGGCUACGGCAGAGCAAACUCAGCUCCAACUAGCUCUUGUUCAUAGCUACCUUGGUGCUUGCCAACAAGUUCAGCACAUGGAGCUGGAGUUGCAAAGUGGAUGAGAAUGGGAUGGGCGGUAGGUGAAGUGCUGAUCAUAAGUUAUUUUUAGUAAUUAAUCAAGAAACGUGCAUUAAAGCAAUAAACAUGUAAGCAUAGGGUGAUGUAAGUGCUAACAUCUGUAUUACACAAAACAGAUUAGUUCUCUAUGUGCUAACAAACGUUAGGUAUAAAACUUGAUUCUGGUAUACAUAUAGAUAGCACUUGGUUUUGUUUUAAAAUCAGGUGUGAUAACUACAUCACCGUUGGAUGCGGCCUUGUAAUAAUAACACCAUGGCACAACUCCUCGUGGGGUAGAAGCUGUUUUUUGUUCUGUUGGCUAUUCCAAAAUGAUAUUGUUUUCAACGAACCUACUAAUGUUACUAGAAUGCAGGCGAUUUUUAUGGGUACUUAUUAGCUACGCUUUUAUUAGAGAUUGUUGCAAAGAGAGUAUCAACCAGAGGAUUUGCUGAAAGUUUGCCGAGCUUUGGAAGUCUUGGCAAUGCAAAUUUUUAUCGAGAUUGGCCGGCUGCAUAAUAAAAUAGAAUUUUCCCUAGUUUUGUGUCAUCAUACAACAAAAUUACAACUCUAUAAUAAUUUUGAAUAUUGUAUACAUAAUCUUGUACUCCCUCUGUUCCAAAUUGUAGGUCGUUUUGGAUGUUCUAGGUGCAUAAAUAUUAUUAUGCAUAUAGAUAUAGUGUAUGUCUAAAUUUAUAAUAAUAUCUAAUAAUCGAGAAAAGUUAAAAUAACUUAUAAUUUGGAAUGAGUAAAAGAUUGUAACCUAAUUCAUUUAUUAGAAAAUGAACAUUCGCUUAAUCAUUGCCCACAUGUGUUAUUGUGGCCCAAAAUUUAUUUGCUGGAAGAAAAAAAAUCAAAUAAUGAACAGGGAGCUCAAUAACUAAUCUCACUGGUUGAGCACGAUUAGCGUAGUUUACUAUUACUCCGAUGCGGACAGCUCAACCACUCCGCAUCGCAUCUUGUCCGAUGCGUCUUCAAUUUUUUAGGAAAGGAAGGCUUGUUUGGUUUAGCCACUUUUAGUUCUUAAAUGCCACAUAGAUGGAUUAAAAUAUGAGCUAAAGGGUUUAGGUGCUGUUUGGAUCACCAGUCCAUGACAAAUUUUAGUCUCUAAAUUUUAAUCCGAACUCUAGCCCUGUUAGGUUGUUUGGAUCCGUGGGCUAAACUUUAAUCUUUCAUCACACAAUGACUGAUUUGCCCUCAUUUAUUGAUUCCAUGCACUAUGCAAACUUUAGUCCAUACUACCCUCCUUUCUUGUUUCUCUUUUUCUCUUGUCUUCUUUUUAUUUUAUACUAUAUAUGAUUUCAUAUUUUGAAACGAAAAAAGAUUAAUAAAAAUAAUUAGUGGCUUGAUAUGUAGAUUAACCAAUUAUUUCCUAUUUUCUUUUUUUUUAAGCAAAUUUUUCAUCCCUUUCCAACCUUAUCUCCUCCACCUAUCCGAUCUCCUUCUUUCUUUCCUCCCAUCGCAGGCUCCUCCCCGACCACACCGCUCCGCUAGCAGCCUCCACGCUGCGCCCCUGCGUUUGCCACCGGCCACCUCAGCCCCUGCGCUCUGGUGCCUUUGCUCCAGCGCCCACCGGCCAGCCUCUCCUCCGCGGGCUGCGACUCGCCACCUCGCCCUCUGCACUCGCUGCUGGCCGCCUCUCCCAGGGGCCGCGCGACUGGGAGGAGACGGAGGAGCUUGGGCGGGGCGAGAGGGGCGGAGAGCGGGGUCGGCCGGCGCGGACGCUGCCGCCGGGGGCAGCAAAGGAUGGCAGAGGAGGCGGAGUCCGACGGCCCCGGCGCACCGUGGAUCAGGAUGUGCGAGUUCCGGUGCGCGCGCAGCGGCUUGGGCUCGGAUCCAGCAACAGCAGCGAGGCGGAGGCGGAGGAGCAGGUGGCGGCGCCGCGGGGCUGCCAAUGCGAGGCGGAGGCGGUGGCGACGUCGAGCAAAGGAGGCGGGACCGGGCGGAGCGUGCAGGGAGAGAUAGAGAGUGCGGGGAGGAGAGAGAGGGAAGGGGGGACCGGGGGUAUGGUGCGUCCAGCACCCACCCCAAGGAGUUUUAGCCCAGUUUAGGGCCUCUUGGGGAGCAAAAUUUUUUAGCUCAGAUUUUAGCUAUUUGCUCUCUUUAGCCUACCUGUUUGGAUCCCAAGAGCUAAAAAAUGAGCUAAAAGUGCAGAACUAAAAUUUAGCCCUUAGAUUCAAAUAGGCCCUUAGUCCUCCAGUCCAAUAGGGAUGGACUAAAGUGGACUAAAAUGCAUUGGAGACACCCCUGUCCCUCAUUUAUUGCCUCCCUCCCACCUGGCCCCCUCCGUCGGCCUCCCUCCUGCUGCCCUCUCACCCAGCCCCUCCCCCCCCCCCCCCCCCCGCCACCGACCUAGCUGCUGCAGGAGGCGGCUCAACUGGCGGCAGAGGCGGCGGGCCGGGGGUGAUGCAGGGGUGGAAGAAGUAGUAGAGGAGCGGGGGCGAACGAGGGAGGCAACGCGGCACCAGCGGCGGCAAGCUAGUGCGGCGCGGAGGAGGUCGGCCGGGGAGAGGAGCUGGAUGACUGUGCGGAGGAUGUCCUCUGUGAGGACAGUGGCCGUCGCCACCUGUGGCUCUACCUGCUGAAGUUCCACCGGUGGUGGCGGAGGGGGAGAACGAGGCGGAGGGGGAACGAGGUGGCGAUGGAAGGUGGAGGAGGUCGAGGCUAGGAGGAAGGAGGAGGAAGAGGAUAAUAUCAUCUUUGUUUAUAUGCUUUAAUGAAUUUUAGUAACGACUAAAGUUUAAUCCAUAAAUAACGGAGAUCAUAUCCUCCGCUCCCGACAAUGGUGUUCGUUGACCUUGAACAUUUGGUUUUCGUUGGUGGGUGUGAUCUAUAGUUAUUAUUUAUUACCGGCAGGAGGGACCCUAAAUAUGCAUGCCUCCUCGAUCCAUCCCAUAAAAAUACCCAGCUACAGCCAGUACCCACCCACCAAACCCAGACCAUGUCGGGCAGCGGAAAUGGCAGUGGCCGCGCCGGCGUUGCCACUCACGUCGUCAUGUUCCCCUGGCUCGCCUUCGGCCACAUCAGCCCGUUCGCCCAACUGACGCGCAAGCUCAUCUCCGGCGACGAGACGCUCCGUGUAACGUUCCUGACGGCCGCCGGGAACGUGCCCCGCGUCGAGGCGAUGCUGGCGGAGGCCGCUGGCGCGGUGGCCGUCCUGCCGCUGGACCUGCCAAGCGUGCCGGGUCUGCCCCCGGUCGCUGCGAGCACGGCUGAGCUCUCGGCCGACGGCGCCGAGCUUCUUAAGGUCGCCCUCGACGGCACCCGGCCGCAGGUCGCCACGCUCCUCGCGGAGCUCCGCCCGGACGCCGUGCUGUUCGACUUCGCCGUGCCGUGGGUUUGCGACGUCGCGGCGCCCCUCGGCGUCAGGGCGCUCUACUUCAAUGUCUAUUCCGCCGCGACCCUCGCGCUCACCGUCCCUGCGCGGUGUCCCGGUGGGCAGCGCCCGUCGGCGCACGAGCUCACUGCGGCGCCCGCCGGCUUCCCGUCGGACUCGCCGCUUGUCACGCUGCCGGCGUACCAGGCAGCCAACAUGACGUACGUGUUCGAGAGCUUCUACGGCAUGCCGAGCGCGUACGACCGUUUCAUCGAAUGCUUCAAGGGCUGCUUCGGCAUCGUCAUGAAGACCUGUGCCGAGAUGGAGGGCCCCUACAUCGACUACAUCUUGGCCCAGAUCGGCAAGCCCGUGCUCCUGGCCGGACCCGUCGUGCCGGAGCCACCGGAAGGCGAGCUCGAGGAGCGGUGGGCCAGCUGGCUCUCCUCGUUCCCGGAGAACUCCGUCGUCUUCGCCUCGUUCGGCAGCGAGACGUUCCUACCGGCAGCGGCGGCGACAGAGCUUCUCCUCGGCCUCGAGGCCACCAACCGGCCGUUCCUCGCGGUGCUCAACUUCCCCAAGGGAGCCGACACGGAAGCGGAGCUCCGGGCACGGAUCCCGCCGGGGUUCGAGGAGAGGGUGAAGGGGAGAGGCGCGGUGCACACGGGGUGGGUGCAGCAGCAGCACAUCCUGCAGCACCAGAGCGUCGGGUGCUACUUGAACCACGCCGGGUUCAGCUCCGCCGUGGAGGGGCUCGUAGCCGGUUGCCGGCUGGUGCUGCUGCCGAUGAAGGGCGACCAGUACGUCAACGCGGCGCUGCUCGCGCGAGAGUUGCGGGUUGGGGUGGAGGUGGCGCGCCGCGACGAGGACGGCUGGUUCGGAGGCCAGGACGUGAGCGAUGCGGUUGCCUUGGCGAUGGCGGAGGGAGGGGAUGGGGACGGGAGGAAGUGGAGGGAGUUCUUGACGGACGACGCCGUUCAGAAGAGGUUCGCCGGGGACUUCGUCCGGCAGCUCAAGGAGCUCGUCAGGGCAGCCUGACUCUAGCUCGUAUGUGCAAAAAUAGUUUGCAUCCUCUGUUGCACGGAGUACGGUUACCUGAAUGUAUGCUGUGUAAUUCGCUUCUUAUGUUUCCUUUUCCUACUUUGUGCUUUCUAUUGAUAAACUUGUGUCACUAUCGUACUGUCUUCCUCAGUCCUUAACAGUCGACCAUCUCAAUACAGGUUCUAUCACAUCGCAGGUGGGUCCUCUGUUAUAUAUCUUUCCUCUUCUUUUACAGCACGCGGCUACAAGCACUAGAAGUCUGCAACCAAAAACUCGUUAUAAUGCAAGCCUGUUCUGAUGACCCAAAUUUACUCUCACCUGGUUGUUCUUAGCUUAGUUGAAUCAUCAUAGUUGUUCGUUGUUUAGGCCAGUGUGUGUAUAUAUAUGUAAAGGGAUUUAUCUGAUGUUACGACACUUAUCACCACGAACUUGCAGCCAAUACUCUUCCAAUUAUAUUUUUUUAACGAAAAUAAUAACUGGAUCAUCAAUAAAGGAGACCAUCUAAUGGCAUCCGCAGUAGUAAUCUGAUUCGUCGAGGAGAGAGAGAGCGCCACGAAAGUAAUUAAAAACGUUCAAUCGAUUAAUACACCUAAUGUUAUGUGAACCCCAUGAAAAUACAAACUUGCAGCCAAUACUCUUCCAAUUAUAUUUUUUUAACGAAAAUAAUAACUGGAUCAUCAAUAAAGGAGACCAUCUAAUGGCAUCCGCAGUAGUAAUCUGAUUCGUCGAGGAGAGAGAGCGCGCCACGGGAGUAAUUAAAAACAUUGAAUCGAUUCAUACACCUAAUAUUAUGUGAACCCCACGAAAAUAUAAAAAGUAGCCACCGCUCUUCCCUAUCAUCCAUCCGCCGCCUCUUCCUCCAUUCUAAUUUCCUGGGGAUGGUCAUAUGAAUUGAUCGUGAAUGGCCACUAACCAUGCAGCAUCAAUCUUUUCAAAUACGGGGAAAAAUAAAAUAAUUCCCUCAUGCGGAAAUUAUCCGCAAUAUCUUAUAUUAAAGAGCUGACCUUUUCAAGUACUUUUUCUGCACUUCAACUUUGAGUUGAUCAGGCUCUCCUUUUCUUUUAUAGAUAUAUAAUAGUUCUGAACUAAUUGUUGAAAGUUUACACUUUAGUUAAGACUUCGAAAUUGAGGUUGAAACUUGAGCACUCUUGGGAGCAUAGAUCUUGCCAGUUCCUCGCAAGCAUCUUGUCUACUGUCAAGGUCUGGAUUUGCACCAACAACCAAGCAAAGAACUUGUGUUUGGUCUCAAUGUGUGCCUUCCAAAUAGUGUCUGCAUCAACUGUGGUGUAUGUAAUUGCAAACUGUACUUCAUAAGCAGAUUUGGCAGUAUAUUGUCCAGUAGGUGUCCAUCUCCAUGUGAUCCUAUCCUCUUGGUCAUUGAAUUGGAUCUCCUGCACCAAAUCCUAUAGAGUUACGAAUUCUGCCAGUUCUUCCAUCGUUUGCAUUCUCCACAGGCCUCUUGUCCAAUUUAGUUCAGUUGUGUCUUCUCUUAGAGUUCUAUUUUUCCUCCAUGCAAGCUUGUAAAGUCUUGUACUAUAUCUCGAGGUGCUUUUCAAUUUGCCCAAGCACACUACCAGAAUGUUGCUCUAUUCCCAUUGCCCAUUGUCACUAUUGUGCUUGCUCUGAAGAGUUGUUUGUCUGUUUCAUCACAUGGAGUUUCUGAGCUGACCCAUGGUCUUUCAGGCUCCGUCCAUUGGUACCAUAGCCACCUUGACCUUAGUGCUCUACCAAAAGCAAGUUCUAGAAUUCCAAGCCCCCCCAAGCUGUUUAGGAAGCACUGUCUUCUGCCAUCUAACCAACCAGUGCCAACCAUUUGCCUGAUCAGACCCUUUUCAGAGGAAAAUUCUUCUUAUUCUGUCUAUCUUCUUAAUAGCCCAUUUGUUCUAUUUGAACACAGUGACAAAGUAUAUUGGGAUUGAAGACAUUACUGUCCUGACAAGUGUCAGCCUUCCUGCUUUGUCCAGCAACUUUCCCUUCCAAUUCUGUAAUUUUCCUACCACCUUGUCAAUGAGUGGUUGCACUUGCACUCUAGUCAAUUUCCUCAAAGUGAGUGGCAACCCUAAGUAUUUGCAUGGUAAGGUACUAAUCUGGCAGGGAAACUCUCCAUGACUGUUUGAAGUUCAAUAUGCUCACAUCUGAUUGGGUAAGCAGCAGUUUUGUUGAUGUUUAUGUGGAGGCCUGAUGCAAUACCAAAAAUUUGAAAGAUCAUGUUGACCACUUCAAUCUCCUUCCUGACUGGAUUAAGAAAAAUGGUAGCAUCAUCUGCAUACAGGCUUGCUCUGAAGGUUGAUACCCUUCCUUGAAUUGGUGACAGGAGAUGUUGUUCUUCAGCAAAAACUAAUAGCUUUUGCAAAGGCUCCAGUGCCAAUAUGAAUAGCAUAGGUGAUAGUGGAUCUUCCUGUCUCAAUCCAAUCCUGUGUUUAAAUUUGUGUGUUUGUGCACCAUUUACAAAGACUAAAGAUGUUGCUAUGUGGAGCAAAAUUGAAACCCAUUGUCUCCACCUAGAUCCAAAUCCUAUCCUCUCCAUCAUUACCAUCAAGUAAUCCCAUCUGACACUGUCAAAAGCUUUAGCAAUAUCUAGUUUCAGGAAUAUAGUUGGCCUUCCUGCUCUUUGCAUUUCUCUUAUGAAAUUUUGUGUGAAAAGGAAAUUGUCAUGUAUACUUCUCUUUUUAACGAAUGCACUUUGAUUCCUGGAGACUAGCUUAUUUAGGACCAAGGAUAGUCUUGUGGCGAGUAUCUUGGAAAUUAUCUUAGCUAUACUACUUGUGAGGUUAAUUGGCCUAAAAUCUGUCACCCUUGCUGCAUCACUUGUUUUUGGAAUGAGGUAGAUCUGUGCUGAAUUUAGGACAUUGAAGUGAUGGCCAUGUAAAGUAAAGAAGUACUAAAGAGCUAACAUACGAUCCUCUUUUAUCACUUCCCAAUAUUUUUUGAAGAAGAUGCCAAUGAACCCAUCUGGCCCAGGAGCCUCUUCAGAUUUUAGAUCCAUCACCACCACUUUUACCUCCUCUUCUGUGAAAUCCUCUUCUAGAAUCUGCAAAUUGUGUCUCUGUAUAUUUAGGAUCUCCCAAUUUUGUGUUUCAUGUCAUGGUUCCUCCCUGCCAAGGUUGUCCUGAAAAUGUCUGAAGAUGGAUUGUUCUUUAUCAGCCAGUAGGUGAACACUGCCUGUAUGUGUUUGUAGUGACUGUAUAAAUUUUUUUCUUUUCUUCCCUGUGACCCUUAGGUAGAAGAACUUGGAAGUGGCAUCACCAGCUUCAAUGUAAUUAAUCCUAGCUUGUUAUCUGAUCCUGAUUUUCUCAAAGGCAGUCAUAGCCAAAUAUCUAUUUUUCAAAUCUCUUGAGUAGCAACUCAUCUUCACUCGGACUUCUAUAUUCCUCUACCACAUCAAGGAUCUAGAUCAACUGCCUAGCUACUGUCAGUAGCAAUUUGUUAAUCCCAAUCAUUGAUUUUGCCCAAUUCCUUAAUCUCUUUGAUGUUCUUUGCAUCUUUGUGUGAAGUCUUAGGUAAGGGCUAUGCAAAGUGACAGGCUUUCCCCAUAUGUCAGCCACCUCCUGUGUGAAACCUCUGAUUUGUGUCCAGAAUGUAUCAAGCCUGAAGCCUUUGUAUGUUUAAAUGGCACUAUCAGCAGUAAUUAGCAAUGGACAGUGAUCAGAGACCAAGGAGGAUUGAGCUUGGAGUAACACAUUUGGCAACAUGCAUUCCCAAUUAACAUUGCAAAAAACUUGAUCUAUUCUUGUAUGUGUGACAUUGUUUGUCCAAGUAUAUCUUCUUCCUCUUAGAUUCAAUUCUCUCAGCUCAAGAGCCUGUACCACAGCUCUAAAUGCUCCCAUUAUCCUUUUGUUUAUAUUGAUGUUGUUUUUGUCUUCUUCUUGCAGUAUCAUGUUGAAAUCUCCCAGGAAUAACCACUUGUCAGAUAUCAUCCCUGCUAUUUGCUUGAUCUCUUCUAGGAAUUGUAGUUUGCCACUGUCCCCUUGGGUCCAUACACCACUGUCACUCACCAAGUUACUAGAAUGGUUGUUGCCUCAAGACAUGUAGUGAUAGAAUUGUUUUUGAUGAAAUAUUCUUUGAUAUUGUAGUAAUCCUCAUUUACUGCUAGUAGGAUGCCCCCUCUAGUGCCUUGUGUAGGUAAAUAAGCAUAGCUUCUUGAGAAUUUUUGGCCAAGAUAUUCAGAUUCAAGAAUGUCACUGAAUUCCUCCAUCUUGGUUUCUUGGAUGCUUAUUAUGGUGCUACAUGUAUCUUGUACAAGAUCUUUUAGUACUCUCCUUCGUGUUGUGCCAUUCAGGCCUCUCACAUUCCAGUUAAGGAGGACACAUUUUUGUUCAUUCAUUGGAAACAACUUUGCUCAAGAACACUGUAUUCUAUGAUGGCCUCCCUUUUCUGAGUGUUGUCUGCACCCUCUGUAGCUCCAUCUUGCUUUGCAGCUGAUAUUGUCAUCUGAAAGCAUAAGACCCAUCCAUCUCCUCCACCGAAACACACCUAGACCGACACACACCCACACACACCAACACACACAUUUGGAUUGCUUGAUUAGCAGGUUUCUUCCUCUAGUGCCAAAGCACUAAGGGUAUCAUCUUCUUCAGUUUGUGUGAGGCUGAAAGUUUCUCUGAAAUUAGCCACCAAUUGCUUCUUCAAUGGGUCCACAAACUGCUCCCUGAACAUCUUGUGAUCAGUUUGAUCUACCACUUUGCCUUCUUUCGGUGUUCCACACUUCUUCAUUAGCAAUGCCAUAGCAUGUUCUUCUAUAGUUAGAGUUGUCUUAGGCUCGUCUGCAAUUCUGUUACUGCGCCUGAUGGACUCAAAUUCCUUCUUGUUGUUGUUGCCUUCGGCAUUUUCUUUUCCUCUUUUCUAUUUAAUGCUCUUCUUUUGUUGCUUAGCUUCCUUUUUUUGGUGUCUUAGGUGUGGCUAGGAUCACCUCAGGGAGCUUCCUAGCAAUCAACGUAGGUUAAACUGAAAUUGAGGCAUUUGCAUUGACUGUAGCUCAUCCAGCACACUGGUUUUCAAUUUCAGGGUUUUGCUUCUGUGUUGUUAAGGUGGAUCUGCAUAGAUCAUUCUGAUCUUAUUUGUCCCCUUGUCACCUUCAUAGCCCCUGGGCCCCAUUUUGUCUAUUGCAUUGAUAGUCUGCUCAAGAUUAUUAACAUGAUCCUGUUCCUGAUCCACUGCAUCUUCUAACUCUAUUAUUGCCGAAUUUACUAUCUUUGUUGCUGCUUGCUAGUGGCUAGUCUGUUGAGGGUGUCCCUUAUCCUUGCUACUGUCUCCUUGAUCUUGCUCUGUAGCAACGUGCUGCCCUUCUUGCUCUCUUGUUUUCCCCUUUUCAAAACCAUUGCAUCCAUCCUUUUGCGUGAGCAUCAGUGCAGCCUCGUCUGCCAUUGGGUCAGCUUUGUUGUUGUUGCUGCUUCUUUCAUCAGAAUGGAACAGAAGCAGCUACUCUUGGCUGGAGCCUGUUUGACCUUCCUCGUUGGGUUGGUAGUAUCCUGAACUUCUGCUCCUGUGUGAGCACUGUUCACGGUCACGGGUACUGCCCCAUCUCUUCCAUGAAAGUGAUGGCCAUAGCCACCGCGCCUGCCUCCUUGGCUAGAACUGCCCCCAAUGAAGCCUCUCUAUUCUACCAAAUUCAAAUCAUGCAUGCUCAGCGGUGGCUGCUGCAUCGGUGGUCGACCACGGCCACCCCCACCUGCCGGCGGUGAUCUGUCCCGCCUACCUCCGAGCCUUUCUUGAACUAGGAUUCUUCGGUGAGGAACUUGAUCAUUCGAGAAGCCGUAAUACCAAACAAAAUGAUGUUUGAUAGGCCAUUCAUCCUCAUACAAAUCCUCGGGCAAUCCACUGACACCACUAUGAUAACUUCUUUCUAACGGACUAGAAGGCAAAGGUGAAUAAUCAAACACACGAUCCAGGUGGAUAAUAACCUCAUAGUUAAGCAUCUCAGCCGGCCCAGUUCUGAUAGCGGGAAGUUCAAACUCUCCCAUUUGCCAAUAGUAUUCUUCAGGGUAGGUUAGUGGUUCUGCUAUCUUCAAAGUGACAGUCUUUGCUAAGCCGUCAGGGUUAAAGGUCCACACCCAAACACAUAGGCAGUCCCUCUCUUGCUCAGUGUCAUCAUCAGUAUCAAAAUCUUCAAUGAACGUGGUGGAGUUGAACAAUCUAGCUACUGUGUCUACUUGUUGGGCAUGCUCAGGAAUCCCUUCAAUGCACACUUUGGCUCAGUAACGGAGUUUUGAUGCCGAAGCACUAACCUGUCUUGUCCAAGGCAGGAGCCAAAGAGUAGUUUGCCCAGCGCACAAGCCACCAAGCCACAAUGUCGUCGUGUGCUGCUCCGGCGUGGAGAAGUGAAGCAAGAACGUGGACGUCGUAAGGUGUUUCACCCCCAAAUCUUGCUCCCUGGUGCCACUCCCUCCAAGUUGUUGAAGGACAUCCCGGUGCACAACCUGAGCAGAGAGCUUGGCCCUUCCGUUCAUCUGAAUGCUGAUGAGAGCCGUCAACGAAAGCUGCCUCUCUUCCUCCCUUGCAGCUACAGUCCUCUGCACAUAGACCGAAACAUGGUCUGGGCGCCUGCUCGCCUCCCUGGGCACGAGCUCAGGUUCCAUGGCUGCCUUCCCCACCGCCGGGUAGGUUCGGGAUGUGGGCGGAAGGCAUGUUCGCUCUGGUUGCUUGCAAUGCAGAGGGGAUGUGGAGGUGGAUGGUGUGGUGGCGAUGGCGGCAAAGGUGCGGCGGCCAGAAGAUGUAGCUUUUGGUGUCACUAGCUAGUGAGCGGUGUAGAGGGGGAAAGCUGGAUCUAUUGAGCGGCGGGUGGAAGGGGGGCGAGCUGCAGGACAGGAAGGCGGGCAAGCUCGAGCGGCGGAGUGAUAGUGGCGCACCUUGUGGCCAAAACGCAGGUAGAGUAUGCACCGUGACGGGUCACGGCAUUCGCCGAUGCGGUGGUUAGAUGCAAGGCAGUUGAAGCAUCUAUUACCUGUCGUGGCUUUGAGCAGCGAGAGCCAUUGGUCAGUGGUGUGCAGCGCCAGAGCUUCAACGCGUUCCAGGCAGUGCGCGUCUUGAAGGCAACUAUGCCCCGCCCCCAUCCUUUGCAGACUGAGACGACACGUCUUCUCGCCGGUGUCUUUCUUCUCUCUUCAUGCAGCUCUUGCUUUGCUUGUGCUGAUGUGUGGCGAGGGAAUCUCGGCUUGAAUGUCCUAGGUUUGAGUAGGACGUCCUUGUAGGAGAGCUUGUGAGUGCUUGAUCUUAUCAGCAGCGAGGGAAUCUGGCGAAAUGGUGCCGCUGUGUCCUUGCUCGUCCCUUCUUUGGAUUCCUUCUCCUCUCUGUCUUUCGCCGUUGCUCCUUCCUCUGUCUUGUUCAGCUUUGCAUUGAAACGCUAAGAGCAUGGGCUCUUGUCCUCCGUCUCCAAGCAGUAAAGGAGGUCCAAAGCUUCUGCCGCUGAGCCGGCGACCCAGGGAAUGUGGCAGGUUGCGAUGUCGAUUUUGUGAGGUGGCUAGGUGUGGUUGGAGUGCUGUGGUGGUUGUGCUGUGUCGCCGGCGAGGUGCCGAGCGGCGGUGGUGCAUCGGUGGGAGCGAGGUGGGCGGGGCGAGCGGGGUGCUCCAUCGGAGUUAUCGAUCGUGUUUGCAUACGUAGGUUUGGCGGCACCGGCAGAAACCGUCGCUGAAGGUCUUCAGAAGCACAAAAGACAUGUGUCUCUACAGUAGGAUACUCCAAAGCUAUAUGAAUCUUGAUUUCGAAAGUGAGUUAGAAAUCUGUACAAACUUUUACAAAAGUCGGAACGGUAUCUUACGUGGUUCAUGACUGCCACCUUUGAUCAGUUUACAUGUCAUUUUGGUCCACGUAAGAACCAAGAUCACAUGGCACUUGGAUAUACUUAAAUAGCCAGCCGUGUCCACAUUGAACAACCUGUGCACAUCUUGAGCAUGACACGUGCAUCGUCUUCAACCUACCACAAAUACAUUUUCACAAUUGAAGUCGACAUCUUACCAACUUAAAUCAUGGAUGAACUGUGAAUGUCAAAACCUUCACGGAACAUGAAAAUUAAAGCUCAACGGGAGAUAUAUGUUCAAAUAGACAAGUUUUCGUGAUCAAAAUAAAGGAUCAUCGUGUACAUCCAGACCUAAAUUAUGUUAAAAAAAACGUCUGCAUGACCCAUGCACAUGUAAAUAAACCUGUUACUCAUUGCUUUGUGACCUAGCUUUGAUCAAAAAAUCAUUCCCUUCUGAUGUGAUCCAUUAUUUCUAUUAUUUGCGUGAUACGAACCCAUCCUCUUAGUCAAUUUUGGAUGGCCAUCAUCGAGAUUGUGCCACUGCCCAUGCUCCUCGAACAACCUGCCAGUGUGGGAUGUGUUGAGGGUGUGUCACACAUGCAGGAUAUUAUUAUAGACUACAGUAGAGGAUUUUGUGGCAACAUAGCUUUAUCAUUGGAAGGAUGAGUUUUUGGACGUCUAAACAUUUCAAUCCCGUUGCCACGAGUAGCGGAUUCGAAUCAAGAACUCUUCCAUUCUGAAACUUUUGGCGAAAAAUUAAAUGUAUACCUGUAGUACUAGGGAAUAUCUUGGCCUGAGCUUAAUUGAAAGACAUUGAGUUUGUACCCACCAUUUCUUUUUAGCACAAGUUCAGUGUACGAAGUGAAAUGAGAUCAGUGUACGUACUCUUAAAAAUGGAGGGUGCCAGAUCUUGUCAUCUAUAGUGUCUGAUAUGAUCCUAGAAUUUACAGCUGCAGAGGUCCACUUACGGCUGUUGGCUUGAAUCGCCCAAACUAAAGCUCAAAGAAAUUGAUGUACUAGUGUGUUGUUUUCUAGCAUCACAGACCUCAUCUGAUUUUUCCUUCUUAGUCAGGAUCGUACGUCAUUGCCCAUUCCUCAUCUUGCUGAUCCAAGAACUCAGUUUAUUUCAACGCUUGCUUCAACAGCUAGCCUCCAGGUAUGGAAGCAUUCACAUCAUGUUACCACAUUCAUCGCCGCUGAAAACAAUGCCUUCUUGAAAGCUUGGCUAGGGAUUUAAGAAAUCGCCGGUAUUCACAUCCUUUAAUCAACCACAGCCUCCACUGGGCAUGGAGCAAACAGAUCGAUAAUAUAUACUAAUAAUCUUCUCCAAUCUCAACGGCAUUAUUAUCAGCAUGUGAUAUGUACUUUAUUGACCCAUUCCUGCCAGCCGAUCUUCAUAUCAGAGCUCACAGACUCCUAGUACAACUAGCUAACUGUGUGACAAAAUGCAAUGCAUGUGAACUGGGCCACGUGUCAGCCUGCCAUCUUGAGCAAUUGAUUGAUUCCCCUAGUGACAAUAUCAUUAUGGCCAUGCAUAAAGCUAAUCAAGUUCAUUAUUUAAGUGCAUAAUUCAUAUUUUUUAUUUGAUCAUGUAAACACUGGAGAUGUCUAUUGGGAUUUGGAACCCCGAACAGAUAAUAGAGAGAGGGAGAAGGGAGGAAACAAAUCAAUUAAAAGUGAGACAAAUGAAUAUGUGGCAAAAAGUCCUCUCCUCCAAGCCCUAUGGCUCUAUUUAUAGGGAGGAGGAGGUAACUAUUUAUAUUAAUUCCAUUGGUGGGGUCGAAUAUGACAGAUAGGUCCCUGGACUUGACAAAGAGAUUUCUGAACGUUACAACUGAGUCUCUAACCCUUACAAAUAAGCCCUUGGAUCCUAUUUCGAGUCUCUUUUACACAUAGGGGGGUUCCUAGCCUUAGUCCACUUAAGGUGCACCCCAACAAUGUCGAUUGAUCAUGUACAACAGGAAAAAUAUAGGCAUCGAAGCGCAACUGAUUUAGUCAAGCUGAGUUGUUCUCUAACUUAUCGCAAAUUUUAACCUGGACCGUUGCUGCACUGCGGCCUUGCCUACUUCAAAUUCACCAAGCAGUACAUGCAGUUAUUGUUAAACAUAUGUAUAGAAAACAAGUUAUGCAUUUCAAUGAUUGUAAGCUUGAACUUAUGCAAAACACAUGACAAUACAAAGAAGACACUGAAAUUGAAAGAUCGAUGUAAAUCCACUACAAGUCAUUAUACUAGUUUACAUUGGCCGAUAUGCUGUUACUUGGCCCAUAGAAGCCCAUGUAAAAUACUGAAAUCCACUAGAAGUACAUUGUUUGUAAAAAAUAGUGCAUUGACCAUGAACUUCCUCAGACAUGUUCCUUGUGAUGAUAGUACGCCAGCUUGUAACACCUGUAGGGCUCAUUAGUAGUCGGACCAAGUUGCCUAUAUAAAAGUUACUCUCGAAAUAAAAGUUUAACGCCUUUUUGUAAAGUGUAAAUUUGUAAAUGUUAUGUUAUGUGUGUCCACUUAACUACAGUCGGAUAUCGUGUUAACUUUUUAAUCAGGAAUCAACUGCGUUCCAGGACCGCGGCCAACCAGAAGCCCAAGGCAUGAAACAGGAAGCAUACAGAAUAUGUGCAGGAAAGAGACGCUGCAAGGAGUGGUCAGCUCUGGUUUAUAAAUAGGUCGCCGUCGCCUUCAGAUCGGGAAGAGCACAUGAUCCAAGAGGAGCAUCUAUUAAAGUGAUCUCUCUUCUACUUGAUCUCCGUUCUUGUCCCUACAGCGAAGGGUGUGGUUCAGCUCAGCCCACCCAAAGCGGGGUUGCUUGUGCUACAACUCACCAUGGCCAGCGGCACGACCGCCACCGCCGACACGACGGUGCCACAGCCCCCGCCGUCGCAGGGGAGGCUCAUCACGGUGCUGAGCAUCGACGGCGGCGGCAUCCGGGGGCUCAUCCCGGCCACCAUCAUCGCCUGCCUCGAGGCCAAGCUCCAGGUACUAUACCUGCAAGCAGCAAUUCAAACACAGUUCACAAACCACAGCUUUUUUUUCCUUCAGAAUUGCACCUGUCGCACUAUACGUACGCUUUGUUUGUAAGCUUGAGCUGAUGAACAUCUGGUCAUGCGAUCUCGAUGCAGGAGCUGGACGGCCCGGACGCUCGGAUCGCCGACUACUUCGACGUGAUCGCCGGGACGAGCACCGGUGCCCUGCUCACGUCGAUGCUGGCGGCGCCGGACGAGAACAAGCGGCCGCUCUACGCCGCCAAGGACCUCACCACCUUCUACCUCGAGAACGGCCCCAAGAUCUUCCCACAGAGGAAGUAAGCAGUCAGAGAAGUUCGUUCUCACUCCAGGCAAAUCUCACAUGACGAUUGGUGUUCCAACAAUGUUGCUCUUGUUGCCUCUGCAGGCUAGGCUGGCUGACGUCGGCGAUGAACCUCGUGGGCACGAUGAGGGGCCCCAAGUACGACGGCGUGUUCCUGCACGACAAGAUCAAGAGCCUCACCCACGACGUGAGGGUCGCGGACACGGUGACCAACGUCGUCGUGCCGGCGUUCGACGUCAAGUUCCUCCAGCCGGUCAUCUUCACCACGUACGAGGCCAAGGCCGACCCGCUCAAGAACGCGCACCUCUCCGACAUCUGCAUCAGCACGUCGGCGGCGCCGACCUACUUCCCGGCCCACUUCUUCACGAC